RNAcentral lists this ribosomal RNA (245 nucleotides) under uncultured bacterium. RNAcentral describes it as "partial 16S ribosomal RNA". It matches the Rfam family "Bacterial small subunit ribosomal RNA", at positions 524 to 768 of the family's 1533-position model. The record is from RNAcentral.
UACGUAGGGCUCGAGCGUUAUCCGGAUUUAUUGGGCGUAAAGCGCAUGUAGGUGGAUUCUCAAGUCGAACUUCAAAGUCCGAGGCUCAACUUCGGUUCUGGGUUCGAAACUAAGAAUCUUUGAGGACAGCAGGGGCAAGCGGAAUUCCCGGUGUAGCAGUGAAAUGCGUUGAUAUCGGGAAGAACACCAAUGGCGAAGGCAGCUUGCUAGGCUAUCCUGACACUCAGAUGCGAAAGCGUGGGGAG